GGGAGACGCAUGAGUGGAGGAACAAACCCUAUAACCUAGAUCGUAAGUGAAGAGGAAGUUCAUAACUUUGAGGCUUAUUAUGGAUACUGUGUUGGUUUCUACAACUGGGUUUGGGCUUUCACCUAUUAUGAAUCUGAAUAUUAUCUCGUAUAUUGAGUAGUAAAGAAAAGUACAAUUUGUAACUAUACAAAUUUAGGCCUCAUAACGACCUAUUGCUGACUCAUCUCGUCAAGCAAAGUUUUUUUUUAACGUUGAUUUAUUAUGGUAUUACAAUUAUGAGAAAUAUUACAUAAACGAUCCGACAACCGACAAUACUACCUGCCUUAUAAGGAUCUACACCUAACUGCAUCACAUGAGCCGUCCUACGAAGAUCACGCCUGACCGAGUUUACUUGCACCAUGUUGAAGAUCCCUUGUAAGCAUUUCCUCUGUAGCAUGCAUCAUUGUUUGAUAAAUCACUUUCUCCGGGAAUUGAAACAUGGACAUGCUGGUGUAGAAACAUUAAUGAACCUUUAGUCAAACCACUAGACUAAGGGGGAUUCCACAUCGUCAAGCAAAGUUUACAAUUACAAUCUGCAUAAACUCAAAUGUAAAUGACUCUCUACUACUUAUAGACUCAGCUUUCCUUCUUUCUAUUCGUCUACGUCAUCCUCAUUAGUCUAACUCCUCCAUCUUAACUUCCAACGUCUUCUACUCAUCCGCAAUCUUCUUAUUCUGCUUCCUGAAGUAGACCCUUAAAGGUCUAUCAAUACCCCCCGAACAAAGAAUCAACUUGUCCUGAAGCUUAGCAUCUGGAAACGAUCGAAUAGCUUCACACAUCUUUACCCACGAAGUUUCAUGAGAUGGUAAGCCGGACCAUUGAAUCAACACUUCCAGAUUGCCCUCUGCAUCAUAACACGAAUCCACAAUCUUCUCUGGCGCUAUGAUGAAUUCAUCCUCAAUCAUCAAUACUUCAGGAAGAGGAGUAACGUCAUGAUAUUUCCCAACACUUGCUUCAGUUGAGACACGUGGAAAACCACAUGGAUCUUAGAUGUAGGAGGUAACUCCAAACGAUAAGCAACAGUUCCAAUCUUUUCAAUGAUCUUGAAAGGCCCAUAAUAACGAGCUGACAACUUCUUACACAACCGCUUCGUUACUGAGUUUUGACGAUAAGGCCGUAACUUCAAGAACACCAAAUCACCCACUUCAAACUGCAAAUCUCAUCUCAACUUGUCAGCAUUAUUCUUCAUAAGCUGUUGAGCCUGAACCAAAUGAUCUUUGAUGUCCUUAAGCGUCACAUCCCUCUCAUGUAACGACUGUUCCAGUUCAAAAUUACCCGUUGAACCGUGCUCGUAAGCAAGCAAGUUUGGAGGGUCACGAACGUACAUUAAUUUGAAAGGAGUACACUUCAGAGCAGUAUGAAAACUCGUGUUAUACGAGUAUUCCACCCAAGCCAAAAACGCAUACCACUUCUUAGGAUGAGCAGAAGUGAAGCAACACAAGUAAGUUUCAAACAUCUAUUCCACACCUCUGUCUGCCCGUCGGUUUGCGGGUGGUACGCAGUGCUGUACUUCAAGCUUGUACCCGCUAGGCGAAAAUAUUCAUGCCAGAAAAAGCUGAGAAAGACAUGAUGUCUAUCUGAGACGAUAGAACGUGGAAAGCCAUGAAGUUUCACAAUCACGAAUGAACAACAUAGCUACAUCAGUCGUGGUAAAAGGAUGACGCAAAGUCAAGAAAUGAGCAUACUUGCUUAAUCUGUCAACCACCACCAGUAUGACAUUCUUCCCACUCGAAAUUGGUAAUCCUUCCACGAAGUCUAAAGAGAUGUCUUCCCAAACUUGAUCAGGUAUUGGCAAUGGUUGUAGUAACCCAGCAGGAUGCAAGGUACUAUACUUGUGUGUCUGACACACCACACAUUCAAACACAAAUUUAUGCAUAUCUUUAGCCAUAUUAAACCAAUAAAAACGACUAGUGAAUACGCUUCUUUGUUCUCAAAAUACCACUGUGACCUCCCACCAAACUCAUGUGAAAUUCUCGCAGAAUUAAAGGAAUGAAAGAUGACUGACUGGAGAUUACCAAACGAUCCUUAUAAUGAAGUCUGUCAUGUUUGAUGCUCAUUCCAGCUUUCACUGCUUCACCCUUUACAAUUCUCUGCUUAAUGUUAUUAGUCUGAUUUUCCUGAUUAAUCUCCUUUAGCAGUUCUUGCAACUGGAGAGAUACAAGAACAAAGUCUGAUAAACCGAAACUGCAGACAGAUCAAUACGAGAUAAUUCGUCUGCUGCAGCAUUAUCAUACUUGGCUUGUACACUAUAUCGAAGUCAUACCCCAAUAGUUUUGUUAACCAACUCUGAUAAUCUAUAGAUACCUCCCGCUGCUCCAAGAGGUAUUUAAGACUCUUCUGAUCAGUACGCACCAAAAAACGUCUCCCCAUAAGAUAAUGUUUCCACUUGAGUAUAGCCAAUACAAUAGUCAUGAGCUCUCUUUCAUAAGCUGGUUUGAGUUGUUCCCAAGUAGUUAAGCCAUGACUAAAGUGUGCGAUUGGUUUGUUAUUCUGCAUCAGGACAGCCCCCAAUCCAAAGCCUGAUGCAUCAGAUUCCACCACAAAAAGCUCGUUGAAAUCUGGUAGUGCCAACACUGGUGAUGUCGUCUUUGCAUGUUUCAGAGUUUCAAAUGCAGACUGUGCCCUUGACGACCACGCAAAAAGUUCCUUCUUCAACAUCUUUGUGAGUGGUCGAGCAAUAGUCCCAUAAUCAUUUACGAACCUUCGAUAAUAUCCCGUAAGUCCAAGGAAGCCUCACAACCCAUUAGUAGACUUAGGAAAAGGCAACUGCUUAACGGUAGUAGUUUUAGCGGGAUCAGUAGACACGCCUUCUGCUGAUAUAAUAUGGCCAAGAUAUUCCACCGUAGGUUGACCAAAGGAGCAUUUUUUCUAUUAGUAAAUAGCUUUUGUUUGUGAAACACGUCCAAGACGAGUUGUAGAUGCUUCAGGUGUUCUGACAUCGAAGUACUAUAGAUCAAUAUGUUGUCAAAAAACACCAAUACAAAGCGUCUGAGGAACAGCCGAAAGAUGUCAUUCAUCAAUGACUGAAACGUUGCAGGAGCGUUCAUUAAUCCAAAUGGCAUCACUAAAAAUUCGUAGUGACCAUCCACGGUACGAAAUGCAGUCUUCUCUACAUCUGCUUCGCAUAUUCUUAUUUGAUGAUAGCCAGACCGAAAGUAUAACGUUGAGAAUACUGAAGCUUCGUGCAAUUUGUCUAAUAACUGAUCGAUAAGAGGAACAAGAAACUUGUCGGAAAUGGUAGUUCUGUUCAGUGCACGAUAGUCCACGCAUAAUCGAAAUGACUUGUCCUUCUUCUUCACCAAUAAGACAUGACUCGAAAAUGAACUUUGGCUUGGUCUGAUAAUACCAGAGUCUAGCAUUUCCUUGACCAUCCUCUCCAUCACUUCUUUUUUUAGAAUGAGGAUACCUAUAGGGCUGAACACUUACCAGACCACACCCCGGUAGUAACACGAUAGAGUGUUCAUGUCCUCGAGCAGGAGGCAAAACCUUUGGUAUGUCAAAGACGUGCUCAUUCAACUGGAGCACCCCCUUUAUCUCAAUUGGUACUUCUGCAUCACCAAUUAACUUCUCUUAUGUUUUAACCUCGAUCUUCUUGCCUUUCACAGUAGUAGAAGACUGUUGUAAAGUCUUAAUUGACAGUUUGUUGUUGUGUAACUCUGGAUCACCUUUAAUGGUUACCCACAAAUCCUUGUACCAGAAAGAUAAUUAUUGCUCCUCCCAAUCCACUAGACAUUUACCAAGUGUUCUCAACCAUUGAACCCCCAAAAUGAUGUCGAGUGUGCCCAACUCCAAGGCGAUAGAUCCGACGUAAAAGCGAGAUCAUCAAUCGUAAAAGAAACUGUUGGACACACACCAAUUCCCUGCACUGAUACACCAGUCCCCAACGCAAUGUUCAAAUUCGGCAAGGCUCUCGGAGUAAUGUGCAAAGCCGCUAAUAUCGAUGGUGAAAUGAAAUUAUGCGUUGCGCCACUGUCCAGUAAAAUUACCACUUCAGUCUUGUUAAUAAUGCCUCUAACUCUCGUUGAUGUUGGUUUUGAAAUCCUCAUGAAAGCGUUGAAAAACAAAGCCAUACAUUCUGAUGUUGAAGCUUGUUCCACCUCAGCUACCUGCUUCCAACAAUUCAACCAUAUUCUCUUCUAUUACCUCCAUUGUCAACCCAUUUAUCACUGUCAUAAUCUGUAACUCUGCGCUUGAACAUGGAUGUCCCUUGUAAUAUUUCCCUUUACAUUUGAAACACACGCCAUCACGUCUCAUCUGAUCAAGCUCCGCAUCAGUAUGGUACUGUCGAGGACGCACAAAAGGUUUGUCCUGCUUCGUUUUGUUCUGCCCACUGUCUUAUUGCUUGAGAGAUCCAGCCUUAUGUAGAACUGUAAUAGUACGCUUCCCAAACGCCGCAGACGUAUAUGAUGAGCCAGGUUGUCUGCUACUUGUCUGCUUAUCUGCACUCAUAACCUUGCAAAACACAGUUGUUUGCAUCUUCAUAACCGCAGUGAUAUGAUUUGUCAAACCCUGUGGUUCCUUCAUACUUAUAACUUCCUUCAUCUCUGGCUUCAAUCCAUUGUAAAACACCUUUAUCAGAUUCUUCUCAUCAAUUCCCGUCACUUGUAGCUUCAACUCUUCAAAUGCAUUAACAUAAUCCGCAAUAUCUACUGUAUGAUGUAGACUAAACAGCCGAGCUUCUGGAUCUUCAUCCAUAGAUCUCGAAAAUCUAUCCAACAACCGUUCUGCAAAUUGUUUCCGACUGCUAAACAGAUUAUCCUUCAUCUCUCCAUUGAACUAGUUGAGCACGGGACCUUCCAAAGUCAGAGAUACCAGAUCCAACUUCUCAGUCUCAUCGUAACGUCCACUACGAAAGAAUCUCUCCACUCUGCAUAUCCAAUCAAAAGACAAUUUCCCAGAGAACACAUGCAUAUCCACUUUCUUUAACAUUGAUUCACGAUUCGCUAGAAAUGCACUAAUUUCCCGAUAACCUAACGGAUUUUGAGGUAACUCCGGUUCAGAUCGAAAAACGGUACCUGAUGUGGUAAAUCUGUAUCAUCGGCGAUCUCUUUUCCACUGCGCUUUGCUGAAAAAGCACAAUUCUCGAUAUGUGCUAACGUACCGCUGAUCUCUUCCAUACGAUGAUCUAACUUUUUCUCCAGAGCUUCGAUCUUCCGAUAUGAUUCAACUCCUCAGAUGUAUAGCUUCUUCUCCAAGGAUUUGAACCGAUCGGGCGAUUCGCUAUCUGUCUCCGCCAAUUUCUCACAUCUGAUCUUCAAGUACUUGAUCUCGGUCCGUAACUGCCUCAACGAAGCAUCAUCCUCGCUGCCUUGACUCUUUGAUGUUGCCAUGUAAGUCAAUUUGAGCUUCGCGUGAUGAUUUUCUCCUCGAUCCAGUAUCACAAUCGCACCAAUUUGUUAUGAAUCUGAAUAUUAUCUCGUAUAUUGAGUAGUAAAGAAGAGUACAAUUUGUAACUAUACAACUUUAGGUCUCAUAACGACCUAUUGCUGACUCAUCUCGUCAAGCAAAGUUUACCACUGCAUAAACUCAAAUGUAAAUGACUAUCUACUACUUAUAGACUCAGCUUCCCUUCCUUCUAUUGGUCCACGUCAUCCUCAUUAGUCUAACUCCUCCAUCUUAACUUCCAACGU
RNAcentral lists this long non-coding RNA (5669 nucleotides) under Brassica napus (rape). Its description in RNAcentral is "long non-coding RNA (BNAP_LNC003437)". Lineage: Eukaryota; Viridiplantae; Streptophyta; Magnoliopsida; Brassicales; Brassicaceae. The record is from RNAcentral.